RNAcentral lists this unclassified non-coding RNA (331 nucleotides) under soil metagenome. RNAcentral's name for it is "partial contains 5.8S ribosomal RNA, internal transcribed spacer 2, and large subunit ribosomal RNA". The stretch from base 1 to 120 matches the Rfam family "5.8S ribosomal RNA", at positions 35 to 154 of the family's 154-position model. The record is from RNAcentral.
GAUGAAGAACGUAGCGAAAUGCGAUAAGUAGUGUGAAUUGCAGAAUUCAGUGAAUCAUCGAAUCUUUGAACGCACAUUGCGCCCGCUAGUAUUCUGGCGGGCAUGCCAGUUCGAGCGUCAUUUCAACCAUCAAGCCCCAGGCUUGCGUUGGGGGCCUGCGGCUGCCGCAGCCCCUGAAAAGCAGUGGCGGGCUCGCUGUCAUUCCGAGCGUAGUAGUUACAUCUCGCUCCGGGCGUGGCGGUGGGCACCUGCCGUGAAACACUCUUUCUAAGGUUGACCUCGGAUCAGGUAGGAAUACCCGCUGAACUUAAGCAUAUCAAUAAGCGGAGGA